UCGAGAAUCUUCCGCAAUGGGCGCAAGCCUGACGGAGCGACGCCGCGUGUGGGAUGAAGGCCUUCGGGUUGUAAACCACUGUCGUAGAGGAGGAAAUGCUCUGGGGUUCUCCCCCAGGGUUUGACCUAUUCUAGGAGGAAGGGUGGGCUAAGUUCGUGCCAGCAGCCGCGGUAAGACGAACCACCCAAACGUUAUUCGGAAUUACUGGGCUUAAAGGGUGCGUAGGCGGCGCGGAAAGUUGGGUGUGAAAUCCCUCGGCUCAACCGAGGAACUGCGCCCAAUACUACCGUGCUUGAGGGAGAUAGAGGUGAGCGGAACUUAGGGUGGAGCGGUGAAAUGCGUUGAUAUCCUAAGGAACACCGGUGGCGAAAGCGGCUCACUGGAUCUCUUCUGACGCUGAGGCACGAAAGCUAGGGUAGCGAACGGGAUUAGAUACCCGAGUAGUCCCUGAGCGGGCUGGCAAGGCGCAU
RNAcentral lists this ribosomal RNA (470 nucleotides) under uncultured bacterium. Its description in RNAcentral is "bacterial SSU rRNA". It matches the Rfam family "Bacterial small subunit ribosomal RNA", at positions 355 to 825 of the family's 1533-position model. The record is from RNAcentral.